CGUCAGUUCGUACUGUGAAGCAUCCUGUUAAGUCAGGCAACGAGCGAGACCCACGCCAACAGUUGCCAGCAUGUCCUCCGGGAUGAUGGGGACGACUGUUGGGACCGCCUCUGCUAAAGAGGAGGAAGGAAUGGGCAACGGUAGGUCAGCAUGCCCCGAAUUAUCCGGGCUACACGCGGGCUACAAUGGUCAGGACAAUGGGUAUCGACACCGAGAGGUGGAGGCAAUCUCCUAAACCUGUCCUUAGUUCGGAUUGUGGGCUGCAACUCGCCCACAUGAAGCUGGAAUCCGUAGUAAUCGCGUUUCAAAAUAGCGCGGUGAAUAUGUCCCUGCUCCUU
This 338-nucleotide ribosomal RNA is filed under the name uncultured Methanolinea sp. RNAcentral describes it as "bacterial SSU rRNA". It matches the Rfam family "Archaeal small subunit ribosomal RNA", at positions 1002 to 1338 of the family's 1478-position model. The record is from RNAcentral. Lineage: Archaea; Methanobacteriati; Methanobacteriota; Methanomicrobia; Methanomicrobiales; Methanoregulaceae.